Molecule: long non-coding RNA, 203 nt
Filed under: Solanum tuberosum (potato)
Lineage: Eukaryota; Viridiplantae; Streptophyta; Magnoliopsida; Solanales; Solanaceae
Description: long non-coding RNA (STUB_LNC007036)
Source: RNAcentral
GAUGAGCCAUCAUUCCAUUAUUUUACAUUUGUGUAGAAAUGCUUACUGCAUCUACAAGUUGACAACUUUUCUUUAGUAUAGUUUUCAUAUUUGUUGACUCAGUAUGCCAUUGUUUAUUUUAAGCUCUGAAAGUUUCAAAAUAUCAACUAUCUUAAGUCCAUGAAUGUAUGUUUAGAUCAAUAUAAAGCAAAUGGCAUUAAAAG